GACGCACAAACAAAUCGACUUUGAAGUCCAUGUAGUCCAAACAACAAUGGCAUGCAGCCGAGAAAGCGUCGCGGUGAAUGAUUACUGCCGUUUUUGUCACAAAAAUCUGCGAAAACAUGGGGUACUCUCAUGUACAAGACUUAUUUUUGAAAAGGCUACGCAACAAAAGAGUCCUUCCGAACGAUUAGCGGUGUUAGGAAUAACUUUAAAUCGGAGCCAAACCAAGUCGGUGCGUAUGUGUAAAAGUUGCUUAAAUGUACUCACACGUUUGGAACGAGAUUUUCCAAUGUACAAACAAUGGCAAGAAGCCGAAAGUAACGAGCCAUCCACUGCCUCCUCAUCGUCGGAAACGUCAAAUGAAAAGAGGCAACGACUAACGCCAUCCAAAACGCCAAGAGACAACAAAAAGAUUCGCUUUGGCCCCCCUCCUCCUCCGGCAUCAUCUUCGAGGCGAAGCAUUACCAAGGUAGCUGAAGUUGAACACUUGCAUAAACAAUAUGUUGCUACUUCGUGCUGUGGUUUUAAGGUCAAAUCCAUCUCAUUCAAAACAGAAGAAAGAGCGGUGGUAAAAGAUUGAUGUGUUGCGGUAGCCAUCUUGAAUGUUUGUGUUUGGUUACGGGAGGUGCGCAGGUGUUUUAUGGGUAAUUCAGGCGCUGAAGAUGACGCAGCAUUAACUCCCGCCUCCCGUGCUAUGAUUGCUCGUACCAAACUUUCCCGGGAGGGAAACGCGAUUCAAUUCGCCCAAUGCCAAACUGAGGCUGAAUCCCAAACCGCCCCCUACACACUAUCCCUACACACUACCCCUCCGUUUGCGCGUUCCCGUGGACGGUCCUCCAUAUUAAGGGCCGUCCCAAACCGCAUAGUGUGGAGGGAGAGUGGACUGUUCAGCCCUUAAAUAGCGAGUCUGCAUCGAUGCUCACUCUGGACAACUUUUUCAGGAAGUGCAACGUCGAAAUGCCCCCCUCGCGUCAAAGUCCGCCCUAACGUGCUUUUUUCCCCACACUGACCGGCUCGGAUAGUCUCAACGAGUGUCCCACAACAUACUAGAGAUGAGAAGUGAACGAAAACCUCCACAUUACUUGGCGAUCGCUAUUUGUUGUGUGGUCUGUAUCCAAAUCUCGGCUAGAAAGCAAAUCUCGUUCCGAAAUCGCGCGAUAACUCGCGCCAAAACACCGGUGGGGGAAACGGCUGUUUGCCUCAGAUGAAGAGAGACGAAUAGAGCGAUUUUGUGUCGGAUUACAGAACAGAUAGUUUUUCUAAACCUGGUAAAACUAAUGGGUCGUCAGUGCGCAUUUCCGAGUUGUGGCAACAGAAUGGUGCGCUACACUUCGCGCAGCUUUCACAGACUACCGUACUCGGAGAAGGAAACGCUAAAGUUGUGGCUAAACGUUUUACAAAUGGACCCUGAAACUCCAGUUGAUGCACUUCGACGUGCCGACCACAGAAUCUGCAGCGACCAUUUUGACCGGGAUGAUUUCUCCAGAUCACAGAAGCGAGCAAAUCCCAAAAACGUUUUUUUGAGGAAAAGUGCAGUUCCUAGAUGGGAGACACCAGCUGCGGGAGGAGUGCAGCUGCAAGACAACUGGACAGAAAUGAACACACCUCAAGACCAGUUUGCAGGCACUCCGUUAAAUCUGUCAGAGAUGUGCGCCUCAACCACGGAGAAACCAACUCCACAGCACAUUGUAGAUGAGGAGGCCAUCCUGCAGCUGAUGAAGAACUGCCCCAAGUGCAACAGAACGUGCCGCUGCACCAAACACACUCGCGAUUCUUACCUCAUAGCCUACCAGAAAUGUUACUUCUGUGAUUAUCAGCGAAAGUGGGCCAGUCAGCCUGAAGCUAAAAAUAUGAACAUUCAUAAGCCACACAAGAGGAAACCUCCAAAGGACAAAGUGUCUGUAAACGCCAAGGCUCAGUCUUCACAGCUCAAUAAAAACAUUUCUGAAUCGUCAAGUCCCACGACCCAGUAGAGACCCGAGACUCGACCGUUUUCUUCUUGGAUAUGACUGACUUAAUGAAUCUGAACCUGGACAUAAACCCAGUUUCAGAUGUGCCUUACGAUGGAUCAUCAUUUUGUCGCCAUGCUUGAUGAUAACAAACAAUCCUUCAAAUUAAUGAUAAUAAUGUUUAAUUUUGUAAUAAAGAACACAGUGGCAGAAACCUUCGUUUUGCUCACCAGAAGUAAGAAAUGCUGUUUUAAAAUAUAGGUGCCAUUGUGGACAGGGAAACAUUGUGAAACCUUUAAACCCCAAAGCCUGCUGGCGGGUUUGAAAGGUAUAUAAAUCUGUCCUAGGCACGUUUUCACGGCAAUCACAGCAUUGUUUAGCCCUCACAGACAAGAAAAAACAAAGCACAAGGCAUGUUUCUACAGCAAUCACACUCAUAUAAUAGCAAAACACAGAGCCUCCAUUCCAAUAUCCUUCAUAUUUAGCCUCUUCACACGUUCUGCCUACAUGAGGCUACAACAGAGACCACCACACAAUGAUAAUGAUUGCUGAAUGCUGAUGCAGUGAUUGUGUCAAUAAAAAUGUGUCAUACUUUCUGCA
This is a long non-coding RNA of Acanthochromis polyacanthus (spiny chromis), 2546 nucleotides long. RefSeq lists it as uncharacterized. Lineage: Eukaryota; Metazoa; Chordata; Actinopteri; Pomacentridae. The transcript has 4 exons. The record is from RefSeq and is a predicted model, not a curated record.